This 310-nucleotide long non-coding RNA is filed under the name Phoenix dactylifera (date palm). Its description in RNAcentral is "long non-coding RNA (PDAC_LNC003992)". The record is from RNAcentral. Lineage: Eukaryota; Viridiplantae; Streptophyta; Magnoliopsida; Arecales; Arecaceae.
UUGUAAAACUUUUUUUCAAGUCUCAUUAGAAAAAAAAUCCACGGUGUGUCAUCAGGAGAUGAACAACUAUUAAAUAAAGUGGCAUAACAUGCUAUACACAGUGUGUCAUCGUUGAUAGCUGUCUAUCUCCUUAUGGCAACCAUACAGCACACAAUAUUCUAAAGUGUAAACCAUGCAUUGCAGAGGAUCCGGAGUCCAUAGGCUUUUAGAUUCAUGCACUACGAGGAAUGAUGAGGACAGGAAGGAAUCCUUUGUACGUUUAUUUAUGAUUAUACAAAUAACACAUACGACUCUAAUAGAUCGGGCGACC